RNAcentral lists this ribosomal RNA (1427 nucleotides) under uncultured prokaryote. RNAcentral describes it as "partial 16S ribosomal RNA". It matches the Rfam family "Bacterial small subunit ribosomal RNA". The record is from RNAcentral.
AGAGUUUGAUCCUGGCUCAGAACGAACGCUGGCGGCACGCCUAACACAUGCAAGUCGAGCGCUACCUUCGGGUGGAGCGGCGGACGGGUUAGUAACGCGUGGGAACGUACCCUUCUCUACGGAAUAGCCAUUGGAAACGAUGAGUAAUACCGUAUACGCCCUUAGGGGGAAAGAUUUAUCGGAGAAGGAUCGGCCCGCGUUAGAUUAGAUAGUUGGUGGGGUAAUGGCCUACCAAGUCUACGAUCUAUAGCUGGUUUUAGAGGAUGAUCAGCAACACUGGGACUGAGACACGGCCCAGACUCCUACGGGAGGCAGCAGUGGGGAAUCUUAGACAAUGGGCGCAAGCCUGAUCUAGCCAUGCCGCGUGUGUGAUGAAGGCCUUAGGGUCGUAAAGCACUUUCGCCAGAGAUGAUAAUGACAGUAUCUGGUAAAGAAACCCCGGCUAACUCCGUGCCAGCAGCCGCGGUAAUACGGAGGGGGUUAGCGUUGUUCGGAAUUACUGGGCGUAAAGCGUACGUAGGCGGACCAUUAAGUUAGGGGUGAAAUCCCGGGGCUCAACCCCGGAACUGCCUCUAAAACUGCUGGUCUUGAGUUCGAGAGAGGUGAGUGGAAUUCCGAGUGUAGAGGUGAAAUUCGUAGAUAUUCGGAGGAACACCAGUGGCGAAGGCGGCUCACUGGCUCGAUACUGACGCUGAGGUACGAAAGUGUGGGGAGCAAACAGGAUUAGAUACCCUGGUAGUCCACACCGUAAACGAUGAAUGCCAGUCGUCGGGUAGCAUGCUAUUCGGUGACACACCUAACGGAUUAAGCAUUCCGCCUGGGGAGUACGGUCGCAAGAUUAAAACUCAAAGGAAUUGACGGGGGCCCGCACAAGCGGUGGAGCAUGUGGUUUAAUUCGAUGCAACGCGAAGAACCUUACCAACCCUUGACAUACUUGUCGCGGAUCGUAGAGAUACUUUCCUUCAGUUCGGCUGGACAAGAUACAGGUGCUGCAUGGCUGUCGUCAGCUCGUGUCGUGAGAUGUUCGGUUAAGUCCGGCAACGAGCGCAACCCACAUCCUUAGUUGCCAGCAGUUCGGCUGGGCACUCUAGGGAAACUGCCCGUGAUAAGCCGGAGGAAGGUGUGGAUGACGUCAAGUCCUCAUGGCCCUUACGGGUUGGGCUACACACGUGCUACAAUGGCAUCUACAGUGAGUUAAUCUCCAAAAGAUGUCUCAGUUCGGAUUGGGGUCUGCAACUCGACCCCAUGAAGUCGGAAUCGCUAGUAAUCGCGUAACAGCAUGACGCGGUGAAUACGUUCCCGGGCCUUGUACACACCGCCCGUCACACCAUGGGAGUUGGUUCUACCCGACGACGCUGCGCUAACCUUCGGGGGGCAGGCGGCCACGGUAGGAUCAGCGACUGGGGUGAAGUCGUAACAAGGUAACC